This 387-nucleotide long non-coding RNA is filed under the name Rattus norvegicus (Norway rat). Its description in RNAcentral is "long non-coding RNA NONRATT012787". The record is from RNAcentral. Lineage: Eukaryota; Metazoa; Chordata; Mammalia; Rodentia; Muridae.
AAAAAUUGCUGUGGUGGAUAUCUCAAAUUUGUGUUGUAUUGUUUGGAUGUAUAUUAGAAUUUGUAGUUUAUUUUGAAAAUCUACCGGCAGCUUAUAACUUUCUUGGAUUCAUGUUGAUAUUUAUUGUACAUGGGUGGUUUUGUCUUUGCUUUCACAUAUGCAUUGGAUAUGAGGGCAGAGCUGGAUUUGGUAGAAGCAUGCAGUAGAAAUGUAAGGCUGUGUGGUUCUCAUCAGGUGUGUGUAGUCCGGUAUUGGUCCCGUGACUGCUGCAGAGCUGAGCACAGGGGCUCAUGCCUAUAGUUGGAGUUCUGAGUUCUAAGUAACUCAGUCUACAGUGUGAGACUUUGUCUCAAAAAGCCACCCUCCCACCAAAAAGAAAAAGAAAAA